RNAcentral lists this ribosomal RNA (450 nucleotides) under uncultured bacterium. RNAcentral's name for it is "bacterial SSU rRNA". It matches the Rfam family "Bacterial small subunit ribosomal RNA", at positions 330 to 794 of the family's 1533-position model. The record is from RNAcentral.
GCCAGACUCCUACGGGAGGCAGCAGUGGGGAAUAUUGGGCAAUGGGCGCAAGCCUGACCCAGCAACGCCGCGUGAAGGAAGAAGGCUUUCGGGUUGUAAACUUCUUUUCUCAGGGACGAAGAAAGUGACGGUACCUGAGGAAUAAGCCACGGCUAACUACGUGCCAGCCGCCGCGGUAAUACGUAGGUGGCAAGCGUUAUCCGGAUUUAUUGGGUGUAAAGGGCGUGUAGGCGGGAGCGCAAGUCAGAUGUGAAAACUCAGGGCUCAACCCUGAGCCUGCAUUUGAAACUGGCAAACUGGAGUGUGUGAGAGGAUAGUGGAAUUCCAGGUGUAGGAGUGAAAUCCGUAGAUAUCUGGAGGAACAUCAGUGGCGAAGGCGACUAUCUGGCACAUAACUGACGCUGAGGAGCGAAAGCGUGGGUAGCAAACAGGAUUAGAUACCCGAGUAUU